Molecule: long non-coding RNA, 1852 nt
Organism: Oreochromis aureus
Lineage: Eukaryota; Metazoa; Chordata; Actinopteri; Cichliformes; Cichlidae
Source: Ensembl
ACCCUAAGUGAAGGGAAUUAUAUUUUGAUUCCAUUAAGGAAUCUUGUGUGUAUUCGAUUGCCAGGUACUUCCGCUAAUUGUUUGCAAUGCCUUUCUUUGUGUUUACUCGGGGUGUGUAUGUGUGUGUGUGUACCACGUUUUCUGCGAGCACACCGCGCCACACAAAUGCACACGCUCACAGACGGGACUGUCGAAGGCUGUGACUCGCCCAGAAACACUACACACGCCGGUGUUAUUACUAUGCAAGUGGAUUCUUCUAAUUAUUGUGUCAAUUCUUGUAUUUUAUUUUUGGGGUUAUUUUUUUUCCCAUUGACAAAAAAAGCAAAAAAAAAAAGUAUCCAAAAAAAAAAAAACUCACUGCUUGUUGGACUAGAGUGAUGUUACUGACUGUCAGACUUCUCAAGCCAACACAUGUAAACUCUAGCCCCCAUCCCCUGACCCCCACCCGUGCCACAACUCCCUUGUGUUUGUAUGAAGGCCAUGAUGUGUUUAAAACCCAGUUUUUCUGCAUCUUGUCAGUCAAAUGUAAGGAACAAGGGGGAUGUUAAUGUCAGUGGUCGGGUCUGAGUCUGUGUAGUGUGUGACAUAGUGAAACGUGUGUGAGAAAGACUCGUGACUCGCCACCACAGUUGAAUUUUUCUUUUUUUUUGUUUGGUAAUCAUACGCCCGACCAUUCACGAAUGAGCGCCACCCACGGAGCGACUUGCUCUCUGCAGGUGCUCUUCGCAAAGGGCCAAAGUGUCCGUCAACAAUUCCUGACUCUUUCUUACUUGCACGCAUUCACUGCUGUUGGACUGUUUUCUUUCUUUUUCUUUUUUUUUUUUUUCUUUUUUUUUUGGCAGCUCGGAUCUGUCGGUCAGAACUGCACGACAGGUUUGCCGUUUUGGCCGAUGGGUCACGGGGCACAGCUGAUCAUAACCUCCAGCUUACAAAUUCCUUUCAUACUUAAUAAAUUUGACCAGAAAAAUCAAAAUCAUUGACCGAUUGAAAGGGUGAAAAAUUCUUGAUGUUUUCUGGCAUAUACACUCACCCUGUUAUUCCCUAUUACUUUUUUUUUUUUUUUUUUUUUUUUUUUUUUAAUAGAUAAUUUUCCGUCUGUAGGGUAAUAAUCAGAAUUGAACAUUCAGCACUGACUUUCAUGCAGUUGUAGGCCAAUAGUAAUUUGACAAGAGGAAUGAAGUUACCCUUUCAAACUGAGAUUCUUACAGCCAUGUUUUGCUUCUAGAGCUCAGAACCAGCAUUGAUUUGAGACAAGAAAAAUAAAAAAUGAAAUUGGGGAUCGAAAGCUGUUGGCUCGGUUAGAGUUGCCUGCAAUCUUAACAGCAAAGACUGACAUGCAGUAUCCAAGGAAGUCUGUAUGGAAUAAAGCAUUGUGCAUCUCAGCGGUCUGGUGUAGCCAACUCACCGCGUCUACUUUCCUUUGUUCCUUUUUCCUCACCAGAGGGUCAAAACACUUAGAUCAAAGCUUCAGUUGCGCUCUUCCACAUUGUCCUGACUUCUCCCGAUGGUUUUAAAAGUGAGACGGAAAAGGAAGCGAGGAGAGUUGGAUAGUUGACUUGGACCGCUGAGAUUUUGGCAUACACAUGUAUAUGUAGAUGCAAUGUAAUAUUAACACCCCCUCUUCAUUGCAAUACAAUGAGGGAUUUUAAACUGGUGGCUGCUGUUCAGAGAAAGAUGGCAGCCCCUCAGUGUCCUGGCUGAUUCAUGUGAGCAGUGACCCUCGAAAUGGACACCAGUGGCCAGAGGGAACCACUGCCCAGCUUUUUUUUUUCUUUUUUUUUUUUUUUUGACAUUUUUAUGUAAAUAUGUUUUUUUUCUAUUUUAUUUUUUAAUAAACAUUUUAAAACUGCCA